GACGAACGCUGGCGGCGUGCCUAAUACAUGCAAGUCGAGCGGACAGAUGGGAGCUUGCUCCCUGAUGUUAGCGGCGGACGGGUGAGUAACACGUGGGUAACCUGCCUGUAAGACUGGGAUAACUCCGGGAAACCGGGGCUAAUACCGGAUGGUUGUUUGAACCGCAUGGUUCAGACAUAAAAGGUGGCUUCGGCUACCACUUACAGAUGGACCCGCGGCGCAUUAGCUAGUUGGUGAGGUAACGGCUCACCAAGGCGACGAUGCGUAGCCGACCUGAGAGGGUGAUCGGCCACACUGGGACUGAGACACGGCCCAGACUCCUACGGGAGGCAGCAGUAGGGAAUCUUCCGCAAUGGACGAAAGUCUGACGGAGCAACGCCGCGUGAGUGAUGAAGGUUUUCGGAUCGUAAAGCUCUGUUGUUAGGGAAGAACAAGUGCCGUUCAAAUAGGGCGGCACCUUGACGGUACCUAACCAGAAAGCCACGGCUAACUACGUGCCAGCAGCCGCGGUAAUACGUAGGUGGCAAGCGUUGUCCGGAAUUAUUGGGCGUAAAGGGCUCGCAGGCGGUUUCUUAAGUCUGAUGUGAAAGCCCCCGGCUCAACCGGGGAGGGUCAUUGGAAACUGGGGAACUUGAGUGCAGAAGAGGAGAGUGGAAUUCCACGUGUAGCGGUGAAAUGCGUAGAGAUGUGGAGGAACACCAGUGGCGAAGGCGACUCUCUGGUCUGUAACUGACGCUGAGGAGCGAAAGCGUGGGGAGCGAACAGGAUUAGAUACCCUGGUAGUCCACGCCGUAAACGAUGAGUGCUAAGUGUUAGGGGGUUUCCGCCCCUUAGUGCUGCAGCUAACGCAUUAAGCACUCCGCCUGGGGAGUACGGUCGCAAGACUGAAACUCAAAGGAAUUGACGGGGGCCCGCACAAGCGGUGGAGCAUGUGGUUUAAUUCGAAGCUACGCGAAGAACCUUACCAGGUCUUGACAUCCUCUGACAAUCCUAGAGAUAGGACGUCCCCUUCGGGGGCAGAGUGACAGGUGGUGCAUGGUUGUCGUCAGCUCGUGUCGUGAGAUGUUGGGUUAAGUCCCGCAACGAGCGCAACCCUUGAUCUUAGUUGCCAGCAUUCAGUUGGGCACUCUAAGGUGACUGCCGGUGACAAACCGGAGGAAGGUGGGGAUGACGUCAAAUCAUCAUGCCCCUUAUGACCUGGGCUACACACGUGCUACAAUGGACAGAACAAAGGGCAGCGAAACCGCGAGGUUAAGCCAAUCCCACAAAUCUGUUCUCAGUUCGGAUCGCAGUCUGCAACUCGACUGCGUGAAGCUGGAAUCGCUAGUAAUCGCGGAUCAGCAUGCCGCGGUGAAUACGUUCCCGGGCCUUGUACACACCGCCCGUCACACCACGAGAGUUUGUAACACCCGAAGUCGGUGAGGUAACCUUUUAGGAGCCAGCCGCCGAAGGUGGGACAGAUGAUUGGGGUG
This 1472-nucleotide ribosomal RNA is filed under the name Bacillus siamensis. RNAcentral's name for it is "bacterial SSU rRNA". It matches the Rfam family "Bacterial small subunit ribosomal RNA". The record is from RNAcentral. Lineage: Bacteria; Bacillati; Bacillota; Bacilli; Caryophanales; Bacillaceae.